RNAcentral lists this ribosomal RNA (271 nucleotides) under uncultured prokaryote. RNAcentral describes it as "partial 16S ribosomal RNA". It matches the Rfam family "Bacterial small subunit ribosomal RNA", at positions 524 to 794 of the family's 1533-position model. The record is from RNAcentral.
UACAUAAGGAGCAAGCGUUGUCCGGAUUUAUUGGGCGUAAAGGGUACGUAGGCGGGCUUGCAAGUCUGAUUUGAAAGCACAUGGCUUAACCAUGUGAGGUAAUUAGAAACUACGAGUCUAGAGAGUGGUAGAGGUAAAUGGAAUUCCAAGUGGAGCGGUGAAAUGCGUAGAGAUUUGGAGGAACACCAGUGGCGAAGGCGGUUUACUGGGCCACAUCUGACGCUGAUGUACGAAAGCGUGGGGAGCAAACAGGAUUAGAUACCCCUGUAGU